CCUACGGGUGGCAGCAGUGGGGAAUCUUGCACAAUGGGCGAAAGUCUGAUGCAGCGACGCCGCGUGAGGGAAUACAGUCCUUCGGGUUUAAACCUCUUUCUUUCAGGAAGAAAAUAACAGUACCCAAAGGUGAAUCUCCGGCUAACAACGUUCCAGAAGCCGCGGUAAUCUGUGGUGAUCUAGCGUUGUCCGGAAUUACUGGGUGUAAAGGGCGCUGAGGCGGGCGAGAAAGUUGAAGCUUAAAUUGACCGGAUUAACUGGUAGCUGCGUUUAAAACUUCGUGUCUUGAGUGAAGUAGAGGCAGGCGGAAUUCCUAGUGUAGCGGUGAAAUGCGUAGAUAUUAGGAGGAACACUAGUGGCGAAGGCGGCUUGCUGGGCUUUAACUGACGCUGAGGCUCGAAAGCGUGGGUAGCAAACAGGAUUAGAUACCCGUGUAGUC
RNAcentral lists this ribosomal RNA (439 nucleotides) under uncultured bacterium. RNAcentral describes it as "partial 16S ribosomal RNA". It matches the Rfam family "Bacterial small subunit ribosomal RNA", at positions 338 to 795 of the family's 1533-position model. The record is from RNAcentral.